UUUCCGGUUGAUCCUAGCCAGACCUGACUGCUAUCGGAUUGAUACUAAGCCAUGCGAGUCGUUGUAGCAAUACAAGGCAUACGGCUCAGUAACGCGUAGUCAACCUAACCUAUGGACGGGAAUAACCUCGGGAAACUGAGAAUAAUGCCCGAUAGAACAUUAUGCCUGGAAUGGUUUAUGUUCCAAAUGAUUUAUCGCCAUAGGAUGGGACUGCGGCCUAUCAGUUUGUUGGUGAGGUAAUGGCCCACCAAGACUAUUACAGGUACGGGCUCUGAGAGGAGUAGCCCGGAGAUGGGUACUGAGACACGGACCCAGGCCCUAUGGGGCGCAGCAGGCGAGAAAACUUUGCAAUGUGCGAAAGCACGACAAGGUUAAUCCGAGUGAUUUCUGCUAAAGAGAUCUUUUGUUAGUCCUAGAAACACUAACGAAUAAGGGGUGGGCAAGUUCUGGUGUCAGCCGCCGCGGUAAAACCAGCACCUCAAGUGGUCAGGAUGAUUAUUGGGCCUAAAGCAUCCGUAGCCGGCUCUGUAAGUUUUCGGUUAAAUCUGUACGCUCAACGUACAGGCUGCCGGAAAUACUGCAGAACUAGGGAGUGGGAGAGGUAGACGGUACUCGGUAGGAAGUGGUAAAAUGCUUUGAUCUAUCGAUGACCACCUGUGGCGAAGGCGGUCUACCAGAACACGUCCGACGGUGAGGGAUGAAAGCUGGGGGAGCAAACCGGAUUAGAUACCCGGGUAGUCCCAGCUGUAAACUAUGCAAACUCAGUGAUGCAUUGGCUUGUGGCCAAUGCAGUGCUGCAGGGAAGCCGUUAAGUUUGCCGCCUGGGAAGUACGUACGCAAGUAUGAAACUUAAAGGAAUUGGCGGGGGAGCACCACAAGGGGUGAAGCCUGCGGUUCAA
RNAcentral lists this ribosomal RNA (899 nucleotides) under uncultured archaeon. RNAcentral describes it as "bacterial SSU rRNA". It matches the Rfam family "Archaeal small subunit ribosomal RNA", at positions 1 to 905 of the family's 1478-position model. The record is from RNAcentral.